RNAcentral lists this ribosomal RNA (431 nucleotides) under uncultured bacterium. RNAcentral's name for it is "partial 16S ribosomal RNA". It matches the Rfam family "Bacterial small subunit ribosomal RNA", at positions 30 to 507 of the family's 1533-position model. The record is from RNAcentral.
AUCGAACGCUGGCGGCAGGCCUUACACAUGCAAGUCGAACGCUCCGCGACGGUCGCGGCGUACCGGUGGGUAACGCGGGGGCUUAUGCCUCUUGCUUCACACUAGUUUCGGGAAAAAGGGGGUUAUACCUGAUAUGCUCCUUGGUGGGAUGUUUUGUUGGCGACGGAUUAGCCCGCGUUGGUUUCGGUGGUUGGUUGGGUGAUGGGCUACCAAUCCGACGAUACAUAGCUGGUGUGAGAGGAUGAUCAGCCACACUGGGACUGAGACACAGCGGAGACUCCUGCGGGAGGCGGCAGAGGGUAAUCUUAGACAGUGGGGGCAAGCCUGAUCGAGCCAUGGCGCGUGAGUGAUGAAGGCAUUAGGGUUGUAAUGCUCUUUAAGCUGGGGAGAUAAUGACGGUACCUGCAGAAGAAGCCCCGGCUAACUCCGUG